AGACAUGAAAACUGUGUAGCUGCCAACAAAGAAAACAGAGAUCACUCUUUUGACUCAUUUGUCAGGCUGGAAAUGUAUGAACAGCAGGAUUCAGAGGCUAGCCACUGACUUCUUCAAGCAGAUCAUCACACAAGGCACAGAGCUGGCAUUCUUCUGGAACUACAGCUGUAUCAUCUGGGAAUGCUGGUUACUCAGAUAAACACAUCUGACCGGAAAGGCAGGCUGCACCUUAACAAGUGCUGUGAGAAGAGCACCAGCUUAUUGCCAGAUGACGACAAGCUGAGAAAACACCAAGCAUUUCUUUACUCCCCGUGACCUGAUGUGGCUUCUUCCCCAUACAUAUAUAUUGGUAAGGCAUCCUUGAAAACCGAUCUGUGUUCGACAGCUUUCAUCUAGCCACAAGCAGAAGUCAGUCGCCAAGACUCAGCUGGUCCCUGCCCUUGGUGAGAUCGUCCAUACUUGGCUCUUCUCCGUGCAUGUGUUAGGAUGGAAUGCUUACUGUUCCAGAGAACGCUCCCAGUGAAUCAGAACAUUAGGAAGGGAUACUUAGAAGAAUGGAGAACCAAGGGAAGAAAACCCAAGAAGAAAAUAGCAGAAUAAGCAAGUUAUGUGUUGAAGAUUCAGAGGUAUAUGAGCAAAGCAAAAAAUCUCACUUCCACCCUACCCCUACAUGCAAAUCAUUAUGAUUUUCAGACACAGUGCAUAUACACUAUGAGAAGAGGUAUAGAAGGAAGAAUAAAGCGGAAAUAGUAAAAAUGCUUCUUUGUAACCCUAAAUGCAAUUAUCUAAGUGAAAAACUUAGUUUGAUUGGAAAACCAACCACAAAGUGGAAUUAAGGGACAUAUUUGCAGACAUAAAAAUUUUAAGCCACAAAUUUACAGUUCUAGAAAUGCAAACAUCUUUUAUAAUUUUAUUAUUUUCCCUAACAGAUUAAUUAAAAAACUAAGAUAAAGUUUGUGAAU
Molecule: long non-coding RNA, 962 nt
Organism: Oryctolagus cuniculus (rabbit)
Lineage: Eukaryota; Metazoa; Chordata; Mammalia; Lagomorpha; Leporidae
Source: RefSeq, a predicted model, not a curated record